This 481-nucleotide ribosomal RNA is filed under the name uncultured bacterium. RNAcentral's name for it is "partial 16S ribosomal RNA". It matches the Rfam family "Bacterial small subunit ribosomal RNA", at positions 30 to 506 of the family's 1533-position model. The record is from RNAcentral.
AUUGAACGCUGGCGGCAUGCUUUACACAUGCAAGUCGAACGGUAACAGGCCGCAAGGUGCUGACGAGUGGCGCACGGGUGAGUAAUGCAUCGGAACGUGCCCAGUCGUGGGGGAUAACUACUCGAAAGAGUAGCUAAUACCGCAUACGAUCUAUGGAUGAAAGCGGGGGACCGUAAGGCCUCGCGCGAUUGGAGCGGCCGAUGUCAGAUUAGGUAGUUGGUGGGGUAAAGGCUCACCAAGCCAACGAUCUGUAGCUGGUCUGAGAGGACGACCAGCCACACUGGGACUGAGACACGGCCCAGACUCCUACGGGAGGCAGCAGUGGGGAAUUUUGGACAAUGGGCGCAAGCCUGAUCCAGCAAUGCCGCGUGCAGGAAGAAGGCCUUCGGGUUGUAAACUGCUUUUGUACGGAACGAAACGGCUCUGGUUAAUACCCGGGGAUAAUGACGGUACCGUAAGAAUAAGCACCGGCUAACUACGU